RNAcentral lists this long non-coding RNA (349 nucleotides) under Lathyrus oleraceus (garden pea). Its description in RNAcentral is "Pisum sativum (pea) long non-coding RNA (PSAT_LNC039333)". The record is from RNAcentral. Lineage: Eukaryota; Viridiplantae; Streptophyta; Magnoliopsida; Fabales; Fabaceae.
ACUAUAUAUAAAAUAUAGUCUAUCGGAUUUGAUUUAGGGAAUACUCGGUGCCGAACAUUCUAAAUGUGGCGACUCCGAUGAGAUAUUGGGUAGCGCCAGGGGGUGUGAUAUAGGAGUAGGAACUCAGAAACUCCAGGGUCAGCGCUUCGUAGGUUGGCUGCGGUGUGGUACACAGUUGCGUCAAGCUGGAGUUUGUCAGCAUCCACUCCACGCCCUCCAAAAGUCCUAGCUCCGUCAAGCAUUCAUGAUCAACACACCUCGUAGCUUGAACGGAGCGUUGGUAGAACUUGAGGUAGUUGCUUCUUUGGCGUUCGCCGGCUUCUCCAUUUCUGAAUACGACGGUUGAUAG